RNAcentral lists this long non-coding RNA (972 nucleotides) under Felis catus (domestic cat). Its description in RNAcentral is "lncRNA (ENSFCAG00000041110.2)". The record is from RNAcentral. Lineage: Eukaryota; Metazoa; Chordata; Mammalia; Carnivora; Felidae.
CCUAUUUUUUGCUAGUCACCUGCAUGCCAUUUUUUGCAAGAUUUGAUCUAAAUUAAUCGAUGACUGAAAGUAUGUCCCUAUGUUUGGGAAGAACAAGAUGUUUCUUCAGAACAGAGCAACUUAACUUCACUGAUAUGUUUAUUUACUCAUUCAACAGAAUUCAUUAAGCACUGCCCUGUUACAGAAACUGUGCUUGCGUAUGGCAAAUAGCCUCUCCAGAGCAAAAGAGCGAGCAUAAUUUCCAGCUUUGCCCAGCUGGAGAGGAGCCCUCUAGUUACAGGAGUGUCCAGUGAUGGCUCUUCUUGGGCCUGGAGUUCCUCCUUGAGCUAACUUGCCUCCCACGCGCAACGUCUACACGUAAUUCCAGUUACUGUUCCGUGAUAGGCCCCUGGGUUCUCCUGUUCUCCCGCACUUCCGGUUCCCGUCUAUCCGUCAAAAUAGCUCUGCUUUCAACUGGACCUCCUUCACGUAGAGGAUCUUCCUGCCUUUUCAUUGUCUUUCUGUGACAAAGUCACCAAAACACAUGCCUCAUUCUCUUUGGGAAUUUACUUUUUGGAGGGAAUUUUCCUUCUGUAUCAGUUGGAUCUAAGUUACUGUCCUGGCCCUUCUGUGUGGCUGCAAUUUAGGAAUCCAGGGUUCCUGGCCUUCAUCAAUGCCUCUGAGGUUCCCCAUGUGGGCCUGCAACAUCUGGGAAACUGCCACCUCCCAGCAGGCACAGCGUGCGGAUGGGACUCUGACACACCGGAAGCCAAGCUGUCUGACGCCAGGGGCUCUUCAGAGGUACAGUGGUGGCUGUGCAGCUGUCCCUCCAAUGGCAGCUUUAAUUUCUCUGCAGGAUGUUCUGCAUCAGCUCUCAGUGCAUCCAGGGUCAUAGCUGUCAAAACCGCAUACAAUCGGCUAUUUGUUUCGCGUCUCAGAACCGUCUCCGGAUUCUGUUCACCGCUGUCCGCUUUAAAGCUUCAUCUCUGUUAG